RNAcentral lists this unclassified non-coding RNA (149 nucleotides) under Chaetomium microascoides. Its description in RNAcentral is "partial internal transcribed spacer 2". Lineage: Eukaryota; Fungi; Ascomycota; Sordariomycetes; Sordariales; Chaetomiaceae. The record is from RNAcentral.
CAACCAUCAAGCCCUGCUUGUGUUGGGGUCCUGCGGCUGCCCGCAGGCCCUGAAAACCAGUGGCGGGCUCGCCUACACUCCGAGCGCAGUAAUACAUCUCGCUCUGGUCGUGAGGCGGGUUCCGGCCGUUAAACACCCCCCUUUUGCAA